AGGAGGCGGGGCGCCUGUGGGAGUCGUGGAGGGAACUUUCCCAGGCCCCGAGGCGGAUCGGGUAUUGAGUCCAUGGAGCGAGCUGAGAGCUAGAGAACCUGCUAAGGCCAUCAAACCUAUCGAUCGGAAGUCAGUCCAUCAGAUUUGCUCUGGGCCGGUGGUACUGAGUCUAAGCACUGCGGUGAAGGAGUUAGUAGAAAACAGUCUGGAUGCUGGUGCCACCAAUAUUGAUCUAAAGCUUAAGGACUAUGGAGUGGAUCUCAUUGAAGUUUCAGACAAUGGAUGUGGGGUAGAAGAAGAAAACUUUGAAGGCUUAACGAUGUCACCAUUUCUACCUGCCACGCAUCGGCGAAGGUUGGGACUCGACUGGUGUUUGAUCACGAUGGGAAAAUCAUCCAGAAAACCCCCUACCCCCACCCCAGAGGGACCACAGUCAGCGUGAAGCAGUUAUUUUCUACACUACCUGUGCACCAUAAGGAAUUUCAAAGGAAUAUUAAGAAGGAUGGCCGUAUAAGAAAAUAAACAACUUGCUAAAACUGCUGAAACUCCCUCUGCUUGUGAGAUUUAAAAAAACUGGCUGAAAUUGGUUGGAACCAACAUGUCCAAUGGAGUCUGAAUAGAAAGAGCUUGCUGACAUCACAGCCCGAAUUUCCACCACAUUUCAUACUAACUCCCCCUGAAUUUGCAUAUGCAAACCACAAGCAAGCAUGAUCAAACAGACAACUGCGCGUGUCCGAGGACUUUCCAGAUCUCCCCUUUCCUUCCACCAAUCACUUACUAAUCUGAGAAUCCAUCCCCUAAUAAAAUCACUGCCUUAAAGCCUGCACAGGAAGACAAAUUUGA
Molecule: long non-coding RNA, 843 nt
Organism: Homo sapiens (human)
Lineage: Eukaryota; Metazoa; Chordata; Mammalia; Primates; Hominidae
Gene: PMS2P4
Product: PMS1 homolog 2, mismatch repair system component pseudogene 4
Source: Ensembl